GGAGGGUGGCAGCGACGCCCUUUGUGUGGGGAGCUGCUCUGGGACCCAGAUGAAGCAGGGGGAGUUUUAGGCAGCUUAAUGAGUUGUUGCUCCCUAACCACACACUUGUCAGCGGCGGUAUUAUUGUUGUGGUUUAGCGCCUGGCAGCGCCGCCUCCCCCCGCUGCGCUCCCGGCUGGCGGCUGCGGUUCCCAGUAACUCCCGCCUGCCCCUCCGCACCGCGUCCCAGAGCCUCGCCCCGGGCAGGCCUCCCGCUUCGUCUCCCCUUCUCCUCCCCGUCUCAGGGAGCCUGCAGCCAGGGAUCAGGCAGGCGAGAUGCUAAGGUCUAUAAUGUGCUCUAUGUAGGAGGCAAAAAGAAGAGGAUCUGAAUCCUUUGAGGUCCACUCUGGAGGCCAUCGUCCCUGCUGAGCCCCCCAGAGACACAGGGAGCUUCGAUCUCAGCAAUGGGACAUUGAUUUUUACAACUCCAGCAACAAGAGAACAGUGAGUAAGCCAACACUACCCACAUUUGAGAAACAGAAUUUGGAGUUAAAAUGGCAGAAUCAAUAUUCAAAUUCAUAGCUCUAUGUGUGUGUGCGUGCAUGUGUGUGUGUGUGUGUGUGAGAGAGAGAGAGAGAGAGAGAGAAGGAGGAAGGAGAGAGACAGGGAAAAGGGGAUUUUAUGACUAAGAGGAAAGAACAAACAACUCCUUGGAGGGAGGAGAUCUCAGUUGAAUAUGCCCCUAGUCUGUGCUGCUGGAAGGUUGGAAUAGAGGAUGGAGUGGCCAAGGCCAAGGGUGAUGAUGAUAUACUUUAGUGGCUCCAUCAACCCAGAGGUCUCCUGGGAAGAACCCACCCCCAACCCCACAUCCUCAAAACCCAUGUAUAGGGACUAGUGCAGUCUGUUGUCUGACCCAGGGAGUUGUCCAGGGGCUGGGCUGCAAUGGGUCAUGGCUUGGUAGAGUCACUAGCAUAGCAGCUACCACCCUGGGCCCCCAGAUCUGUCUUUCUAGGCCUGACUUCAAAGAGGUUCUAUAAGUAGAUUGAACUUACGUUUCAAGUAUUAUGAACCUCAUUAUGUUUCAAAUAUUAUUUUGUAAGGUGGUUGUCUAUAAUUUAGAAUGCCUUUUCUCAUAUAUGCAACACUCAACAAAUGUUUAUGGAUUGUCUACUCUAUCAGAUGCUGGGAAUAUAAUGGUGAAAAACAGAGGUCGCAUUCCCAGAUCCACCCAUAAAAACCUAUUUAAUCAAUAAUAAAGGCAAACUAUUCUUUGUCUGUGGAAGCAUUGCAUUCUGAGCUCCAUCUUGGAAUACCUGGAAAAUAGCAUUCCCUGCCUUGGCAAUAGCAAUUGAAACUCCCACCUGGUCCCUGAGCAACUGCAACCACAAGUAAGAAGUGUAGAAACCAAUAUUUGUUGAAUGCCUACUGUAUGUCUGGCUGUGCUAGCAUUUUACGUACAUCUAUGAGAUAGGCAUAAUUGCUCUUGUUUUACAGCUAAAGAAUCCAAUACUCAGAAGCUAAGCAAGUUCCCUAAGGUCACACAGUUACUAAGCUAGAAUUUGAGUCAAGGCUACAGAUAUCAAAGCCCAUGUUCUUUCUUCUAUUCAUCAACUGCCUUAUUUGGGGCUUUGGCCGGAAAGGAUGAGGCAGCAUGGGAAGGCACUGAGGGCACUCAGAGUGCUCUGGCCAUGGGGCGCCAUGCAGCCAUGGGGAAGUGAAGUACGCAGAUGUAUGUACAGAUCAUUUGCAGGCCCACAGUUCUGAAAUCAAGCUCUUAGUGCACCAGUUUCCGUGAUGUGGCUUGUUGCUGUUAUUCACCUGGAAUCCUUAGGAGUGACCAGGCAUUCAAGUCACCAAGACUCAGCUGGAACUAAGAACCCUUUUCUUCCACUGUGUUUUCUAGGGGGAGAUGCUGUAGGAGUCUUGCAGGAGCAAGCGAGUGUGAGUAAUAAAAGAGUUGCUUAUGUAAUAGGAAACCACACUGUCUAGGGCACACGGACUUCUCUGGGAUCCAGGGAGCCAGAAUUCCAAGGUUCUCUUCCAAGUUCACCCACACUUGGGUCUGUCUUUUUGAGCAAGUCACCUCACCUUCUCCAGUUUCCUGCUGUGCAGCCUUGACACAGCAAUGUUCUUUUUUACCCUUUUCCAUGAUGAGAUCCCCAAAGAAUGGCUGUGCAUAGCGACCGCUGGAGCUGCUUGGCAGUCUGAGCAACAUCCUUUGGUUUCUACCCCCAGCCGAUGCCCCUCUCACCUCCAGGUGCUCACUUUUCUAUGGCACCCCACUGGGGAGGUGACCCUCAUUUAUCUCUCAAAUGUCUUCAGCCUUCUUUGAUGUGCCUAAGACGAUUUCUCCCUGCAACCCCCCUGGGGCCCAGUGAGGUUAUCAUGGCUUCUAACUGUCUAGCUGUGAACAGAGUAGAGACAUCGUCAGCUUCUACUUAAAAUAAAAUGUCUCAGCCUGUAUGCCUGUUUUCCAUUUCCACCCCUUCCACUAAUGAUGUCUGUGUUCUGAGAACGUCACUUACCUCUCUGGACCACAGUUUUUUCCUUUGUAACAAAAGGGGAUGGAACAAGAUGUCUCUGGGAAUCUUGCAGUUUCCUGAUUUUGAACCCCUUACCUAGGAAUCUGAGUCACCUUGCACAUCCUUUCAUUUCAUCAUCUUAAAAAUGACAAGGAUCCACAGGUUUAUCGAAAUGGACACAUGGAAAUGUGUACACAAAUCCAGGCCCUUCCCAACCAUGCACCUAGUUAGACUCCUAGUGUCGGUUCUCUGAGAGGCAGUAUUCCAGCCACUGCAGUCAGGUGUCUUCAACUAGGGCUCUGCUCUCUCCCCCACCCUUGCACCUUCUCCCUGGUACACAGUCCUCUGCCCCAGUCCAGCCCAGUGAGAGUUUCUUCUGCACAGCAGGUGGCUGUCCACCAGCCAGUCCCUCUUGGAAGUUGGAGGGGCCAAGCUGUACGAGAAGACGUUUUCCUUACCCCAGCCACCCGCAUCCCAGCCUCAGGACAGUUUUGCUCUGCUCCACACGCCCUGCGUGGGUUGGCUCCUGUUGCUAGGAGAACCUGACCAUUUGCAUUUCCUGCUGUUUUUAUUUUAGAUUAGCAGCCGCACUGCUGCAGGAACACAGGGUAUUUUAAGAAAGACAAAAAAGGAAAGGGUGAGGGGAGAACCUAGCAUGGGUCCUCCUUCCCACAGGCCCCCAAAACACUCAGACCAAGGUGACAACCAUCGCAGACCCUGUCCCCACCCAGGCCUCUUGCCUCCUCUUCCCUGAACGGCACCAUCUCCCAGUCCUGACACUUUCACAAACACCUUCAGUCCAUACAGGAACAAAUGGCCCAGUCUUCUUACACAAAAAGCAGACAAAGGUCAAGUCUUCAAAUCAACCUAACACACACACAGGACCAGCUUCCCCAUGUUUAAAAAAAAACCCAACAAAUAGAAAUACUCCCAGAUUCCCAUGUGGAUUCUCCAACCCCAAAACACCUGAUCUCCAGAGAUGACUCCUGCUUUUUCCUUUGUCUUUGCCCUUUCUCUGCCCUAAAGAUAGAGAUGUGACUUUUCCUUCAAAGCCUUAGCACAAAUCAGUGUCGCCUUCCCAGAGCCCCUCAGUUCUAUUAAUCUCUCCCUCCCCUGUUCUGAAGAUCCCUGCACCUUAUCACGGUUACCGUUUUAUCAGAUCCGUAAUCUACACUUCUGUCUCCCCCACUAGACUGUGAACUCCUAGAAGCCAGUGUCUUCAUCAUUUUUUUUUGAAACAAAGUCUCACACUCUUGCUCAGGCUGGAGUGGAGUGGU
Molecule: long non-coding RNA, 3777 nt
Filed under: Homo sapiens (human)
Lineage: Eukaryota; Metazoa; Chordata; Mammalia; Primates; Hominidae
Description: HSALNT0365529
Source: RNAcentral